GAUGAACGCUGGCGGCGUGCCUAAUACAUGCAAGUCGAACGCUGGAAAUCUAGCUUGCUAGAUUGAAGGAGUGGCGAACGGGUGAGUAAUACAUAAGCAACCUACCCACGAAGACUGGGAUAAUCUCUGGAAACGGGGACUAAUACCGGAUAGGUAAUCGGAAGGCAUCUUCUGAUUAUUAAAGGUUAAAAACACUGGUGGAUGGGCUUAUGGCGCAUUAGUUAGUUGGUGAGGUAACGGCCCACCAAGACGAUGAUGCGUAGCCGGCCUGAGAGGGUGAACGGCCACAUUGGGACUGAGACACGGCCCAGACGCCUACGGGAGGCAGCAGUAGGGAAUUUUCGGCAAUGGGGGAAACCCUGACCGAGCAACGCCGCGUGAGUGAUGACGGCCUUCGGGUUGUAAAGCUCUGUUGUAAGGGAAGAACGGUAGAUAGAGAAUAUCUAAAUGACGGUACCUUACCAGAAAGCCACGGCUAACUACGUG
Molecule: ribosomal RNA, 486 nt
Filed under: uncultured bacterium
Lineage: Bacteria
Description: partial 16S ribosomal RNA
Rfam family: Bacterial small subunit ribosomal RNA
Source: RNAcentral